UGUGGGAGUUUGCGGUAGUGAUCAGAUGGCUCAGAGGGUCCUGGAGUUCUGAUAGGAGAUGGAUUCGCGUUGGACUCGUUUGGGAACUCCUGUGCAUAGUUUGAGACGAUCUGAGGUUUUUAAGAAGAGCUGUAGUAAACAGAGGGCCGUAGUGUAGCGUAGUGUGUUCGGUAGAGGACCCAGAGCAGCAACAAAUCGAGAGGAGCCGACAGAGAGCAAAGGCAGGAGUGCUUCAGGCAGACUGUCAGGCAGCAGAUAGCGAUCGCUUCAGAGAUUCAGCGGAUCUCCUAGAGAGAGCUUUUGUGAGGGAGAACUUCUUGUGAGAGAGAGAUUAGAUG
Molecule: long non-coding RNA, 338 nt
Filed under: Elaeis guineensis (African oil palm)
Lineage: Eukaryota; Viridiplantae; Streptophyta; Magnoliopsida; Arecales; Arecaceae
Description: long non-coding RNA (EGUI_LNC023703)
Source: RNAcentral